UACGUAGGGAGCAAGCGUUGUCCGGAAUCAUUGGGCGUAAAGCGCGCGUAGGUGGCUUCGUAAGUCCGUUGUGAAAGUCAAAGGCUCAACCUUUGAAAGCCGAUGGAUACUGUGAAGCUAGAGUACGGAAGAGGCGAGUGGAAUUCCUGGUGUAGCGGUGGAAUGCGCAGAUAUCAGGAGGAACACCAAUGGCGAAGGCAGCUCGCUGGGACGGUACUGACGCUGAGACGCGAAAGCGUGGGGAGCAAACAGG
This 253-nucleotide ribosomal RNA is filed under the name uncultured bacterium. Its description in RNAcentral is "partial 16S ribosomal RNA". It matches the Rfam family "Bacterial small subunit ribosomal RNA", at positions 524 to 776 of the family's 1533-position model. The record is from RNAcentral.